CGUGCAGGCGGCCACCGCAAGUUGAAUGUGAAAUCCCCGGGCUUAACCCGGGAAGUGCGUUCAAGACUGCGGGGCUUGAAUACGGGAGAGGAUCGUGGAAUUCCUGGUGUAGAGGUGAAAUUCGUAGAUAUUGGGUAGAACACCGGUGGCGAAGGCGAGUAUCUGGCUAUCAACUGACGCUGAGGCACGAAAGCAUGGGGAAUCAAACA
RNAcentral lists this ribosomal RNA (209 nucleotides) under uncultured bacterium. Its description in RNAcentral is "partial 16S ribosomal RNA". It matches the Rfam family "Bacterial small subunit ribosomal RNA", at positions 568 to 774 of the family's 1533-position model. The record is from RNAcentral.